RNAcentral lists this unclassified non-coding RNA (215 nucleotides) under Hevea brasiliensis (rubber tree). Lineage: Eukaryota; Viridiplantae; Streptophyta; Magnoliopsida; Malpighiales; Euphorbiaceae. The record is from RNAcentral.
GCGCAAUCCUACAGGAAGCUCCCUGUUGGCAGCAACUUUGGAUAAUGCAAGCCCAAAACCUGGUUGAAGAGAUGCCUGAUUUAGCGAUGCUUCUGCAAAUGAGCGAACCUCCUGGUUAGGGUCGAGAGUGGCCGACAAGCAAUUGAUAAGCCAUUGUUGAUCCUGAUCAAUCACAUUCGCCAUCGUCGAGCGCCGAGCAAAGCCUUCGGAGUUUG